Molecule: ribosomal RNA, 416 nt
Filed under: Escherichia coli
Lineage: Bacteria; Pseudomonadati; Pseudomonadota; Gammaproteobacteria; Enterobacterales; Enterobacteriaceae
Description: bacterial SSU rRNA
Rfam family: Bacterial small subunit ribosomal RNA
Source: RNAcentral
UACCAUGCAGUCGACGGUAACAGGAAACAGCUUGCUGCUUCGCUGACGAGUGGCGGACGGGUGAGUAAUGUCUGGGAAACUGCCUGAUGGAGGGGGAUAACUACUGGAAACGGUAGCUAAUACCGCAUAACGUCGCAAGACCAAAGAGGGGGACCUUCGGGCCUCUUGCCAUCGGAUGUGCCCAGAUGGGAUUAGCUAGUUGGUGGGGUAACGGCUCACCUAGGCGACGAUCCCUAGCUGGUCUGAGAGGAUGACCAGCCACACUGGAACUGAGACACGGUCCAGACUCCUACGGGAGGCAGCAGUGGGGAAUAUUGCACAAUGGGCGCAAGCCUGAUGCAGCCAUGCCGCGUGUAUGAAGAAGCCUUCGGGUUGUAAAGUACUUUCAGCGGGGAGGAAGGGAGUAAAGUUAAUAC